This is a non-coding RNA of Pelobates cultripes (western spadefoot toad), 206 nucleotides long. Lineage: Eukaryota; Metazoa; Chordata; Amphibia; Anura; Pelobatidae. The record is from the annotation of a GenBank genome assembly.
AAAAUGUCCAUAGGAAAGCAUUGAGAAAUGCUUUCCUAUGGACUGUUUGAAUGCGCGCGCGGCUCCUGCCGCGCAUUCCGCUCCACUCGGGAGCUGACGUCGGCGGGGAGGAGAGGUCACCAGCGCUGAGGGAGCCUGGCGCUGGAUUAAGGUAAGUGGCUGAAGGGGUUUUAGCCCCUUCAGCCCAGCGGGAGGUGGACCCUGAG